RNAcentral lists this ribosomal RNA (414 nucleotides) under uncultured bacterium. RNAcentral describes it as "bacterial SSU rRNA". It matches the Rfam family "Bacterial small subunit ribosomal RNA", at positions 358 to 772 of the family's 1533-position model. The record is from RNAcentral.
GGAAUAUUGCACAAUGGGGGGAACCCUGAUGCAGCGACGCCGCGUGAGUGAAGAAGUAUUUCGGUAUGUAAAGCUCUAUCAGCAGGGAAGAAAUAAAGUCCUUCGGACUUUGGACGGUACCUGACUAAGAAGCCCCGGCUAACUACGUGCCAGCAGCCGCGGUAAUACGUAGGGGGCAAGCGUUAUCCGGAUUUACUGGGUGUAAAGGGAGCGUAGACGGUGAAGCAAGUCUGAAGUGAAAGGCGGGGGCUCAACCCCCGGACUGCUUUGGAAACUGUUUGACUGGAGUGCAGGAGAGGUAAGUGGAAUUCCUAGUGUAGCGGUGAAAUGCGUAGAUAUUAGGAGGAACACCAGUGGCGAAGGCGGCUUACUGGACUGUAACUGACGUUGAGGCUCGAAAGCGUGGGGAGCAAA